CUAAUUUGCUUCCCUAAAUUUAUCAUUCUCUCUCUUCCUCAAUUGUUGCUUUCACGCCAUGUAACAUCAAUAGAAGAGCGCUUCAUCUUCAUUUUGGGAUAAAGCUUGACCUCUUCAUCGAUUUCCUGCAGCAAAUUCACCUUGAAAUCUGGGGAUUUUGAAAAAAGCUUUUGAUAUAAACUCUUUGGGAAGAAUAGGCAAGGGUAUUAUCUUUGCUCCUUUCCAAUUUUACUUUCUUUCUUGCCAUUUUUGGCUUAUGUUCCUGCACCAUCUGCCUUUGUUUGUCAUCCAUUGAAAGUGGAUUCAAAUGUUUCAAAUUCAAACAACCAAUUUACAUUCAAAUGACCAAAAAAUCCCGCCCAAUGUUUCAAGGAGAAACGCCCUAUUUUGUCACUAUAAAUAUCAGCUUUGGCAUUCAUUUUUGGGACCAUGCUUUUCUAUCUUCACAACACCUUUAACCAUUGUUCUUUUGUCCUAAAUAUCGUCUUUGCAUUCUCUUUGGAUCUAGAUUGAAACACUGUUUUCAAGCUUGCUCAAGUUCGUCAUUGUUUGAACAUAGAUCUUCGACCAAAGCACCCGUUUACCGCUCCGUAACAGGACCGAGCACCAAGUACCGUAGAUGAUAUAUCGAGCCUACUGCAGCCACUUUCGGAGACUAGGGUGAAUAUAUGUCGUUCUAAGAUCAUUUAUGUCUCCUUCAUCUUGAAUGACCCAUCUUUUUGUACUUUUGAGACUAGCCGAUGUUGUAUAUAUUUUUGGUCCACUUUUGGGACUUGUAUUCAUUUUAUUUUGGCAGCAACUCUGUACUAGUGACUUCCAGAUUCUGGAAGGGAUUCAGUCUUUUGUAUUUUGUAUAUAUUUAUCUAGUUUCUCCUUAUUUUGA
Molecule: long non-coding RNA, 883 nt
Organism: Solanum dulcamara
Lineage: Eukaryota; Viridiplantae; Streptophyta; Magnoliopsida; Solanales; Solanaceae
Exons: 2
Source: RefSeq, a predicted model, not a curated record